Vespula vulgaris is the source of this 3328-nucleotide long non-coding RNA. RefSeq lists it as uncharacterized. The record is from RefSeq and is a predicted model, not a curated record. NCBI's taxonomy places the organism in Eukaryota, Metazoa, Arthropoda, Insecta, Hymenoptera, Vespidae. The transcript has 4 exons.
GAAGGAAUUUGAUAAUCGAUCUCCACGAUAGGACUUAGAAAUAUUCGCGGAUGCCAUUCGUGCAAGUAUUAACGAAGAAUUAAUGGAAAUAUACAACAGUUUAUUUGGUAUUAGACUAAAUCCGAAGUGGGGAUAGUCGGCUUCGAGAGACGACAACAAAGUCGUGCCUUUGACCGACUUCUAGUUCAGUUGUGCUUUGGACUUCGACGAGGGAACAUAUAGAUUUUCGCAGACUUCGAUUUCGCAUUCUCGAAGGAAUUUGAUAAUCGAUCUCCACGAUAGGACUUAGAAAUAUUCGCGGAUGCCAUUCGUGCAAGUAUUAACGAAGAAUUAAUGGAAAUAUACAACAGUUUAUUUGGUAUUAGACUAAAUCGGAAGUGGGGAUAGUCGGCUUCGAGAGACGACAACAAAGUCGUGCCUUUGACCGACUUCUAGUUCAGUUGUGCUUUGGACUUCGACGAGGGAACAUAUAGAUUUUCGCAGACUUCGAUUUCGCAUUCUCGAAGGAAUUUGAUAAUCGAUCUCCACGAUAGGACUUAGAAAUAUUCGCGGAUGCCAUUCGUGCAAGUAUUAACGAAGAAUUAAUGGAAAUAUACAACAGUUUAUUUGGUAUUAGACUAAAUCCGAAGUGGGGAUAGUCGGCUUCGAGAGACGACAACAAAGUCGUGCCUUUGACCGACUUCUAGUUCAGUUGUGCUUUGGACUUCGACGAGGGAACAUAGAAAUUUUCACAGGAUGUCACUCGAGCGAGUAUUUACGAAUAGUUUACGCAAGUACAAUAUUAUAUUACUCAUAUUUUCGAAAUUCUAUGCUUUCUCUUUUGCUUCAGACUUCGAUUUCGCACUCCCGGAGGACUUUGAAAAUCUGUCUCCCGAGUGGACUUAGAAAUUUUCGCAUCUUUGCGGGACUUUGAAAAUCUGUCUUCCGAGUGGACUUAGAAAUUUUCGCAUCUUUGCGGGACUUUGAAAAUCUGUCUCCCGAGUGGACUUAGAAAUUUUCGCAUCUUUGCGGGACUUUGAAAAUCUAUCUCCACGAGUGGACUUAGAAAUUUUCGCAUCUUUGCGGGACUUUGAAAAUCUGUCUCCCGAGUGGACUUAGAAAUUUUCGCAUCUUUGCGGGACUUUGAAAAUCUGUCUCCCGAGUGGACUUAGAAAUUUUCGCAUCUUUGCGGGACUUUGAAAAUCUGUCUCCCGAGUGGACUUAGAAAUUUUCGCAUCUUUGCGGGAUUUUGAAAAUCUGUCUCCCGAGUGGACUUAGAAAUUUUCGCAUCUUUGCGGGACUUUGAAAAUCUAUCUCCACGAGUGGACUUAGAAAUUUUCGCAUCUUUGCGGGACUUUGAAAAUCUGUCUCCCGAGUGGACUUAGAAAUUUUCGCAUCUUUGCGGGACUUUGAAAAUCUGUCUCCCGAGUGGACUUAGAAAUUUUCGCAUCUUUGCGGGACUUUGAAAAUCUGUCUCCCGAGUGGACUUAGAAAUUUUCGCAUCUUUGCGGGAUUUUGAAAAUCUGUCUCCCGAGUGGACUUAGAAAUUUUCGCAUCUUUGCGGGACUUUGAAAAUCUAUCUCCACGAGUGGACUUAGAAAUUUUCGCAUCUUUGCGGGACUUUGAAAAUCUGUCUCCCGAGUGGACUUAGAAAUUUUCGCAUCUUUGCGGGACUUUGAAAAUCUGUCUCCCGAGUGGACUUAGAAAUUUUCGCAUCUUUGCGGGACUUUGAAAAUCUAUCUCCACGAGUGGACUUAGAAAUUUUCGCAUCUUUGCGGGACUUUGAAAAUCUGUCUCCCGAGUGGACUUAGAAAUUUUCGCAUCUUUGCGGGACUUUGAAAAUCUAUCUCCACGAGUGGACUUAGAAAUUUUCGCAUCUUUGCGGGACUUUGAAAAUCUAUCUCCACGAGUGGACUUAGAAAUUUUCGCAUCUUUGCGGGAUUUUGAAAAUCUGUCUCCCGAGUGGACUUAGAAAUUUUCGCAUCUUUGCGGGACUUUGAAAAUCUAUCUCCACGAGUGGACUUAGAAAUUUUCGCACCUUUGGGGGACUUUGAAAAUCUAUCUCCACGAGUUGACUUAGAAAUUUUCGCAUCUUUGCGGGACUUUGAAAAUCUAUCUCCCGAGUGGACUUAGAAAUUUCUACACUCCUGGAGGACUUUGAAGAUCUAUCUCCCGAGUGGACUUAGAAAUUUUCGCAUCUUUGCGGGACUUUGAAAAUCUAUCUCCACGAGUGGACUUAGAAAUUUUCGCAUCUUUGCGGGAUUUUGAAAAUCUGUCUCCCGAGUGGACUUAGAAAUUUUCGCAUCUUUGCGGGACUUUGAAAAUCUAUCUCCACGAGUGGACUUAGAAAUUUUCGCACCUUUGGGGGACUUUGAAAAUCUAUCUCCACGAGUUGACUUAGAAAUUUUCGCAUCUUUGCGGGACUUUGAAAAUCUAUCUCCCGAGUGGACUUAGAAAUUUCUACACUCCUGGAGGACUUUGAAGAUCUAUCUCCCGAGUGGACUUAGAAAUUUUCGCGGAUGCCACUCGAGCGGGUAUUAAGGAUGAGUAUACGCAAGUACCAUGUUAUAUUACUCAUAUUUUCAAAACUUUGUACUUUCUUUUUUUGUUACAGACCGAUUUCGCUCUUUCCAGGGAUUUUGAAAAUCUAUCUUCACGAGUGGACUUAGAAAUUUUCGCAGAUGUCAUUCGAAUAUGUAUUAACGAAGACUUAAAGACCUCAUUGCAAUCGAGCGCGUAGCAAUGAAGUAAUCGUGGAUGUGUAUCGCUAAAAUAAAAAUAUUUCGCGAAGUAGAAGCAGUGUUUGUUCGUUCGCGUUUCGCGAUUUAAACUAUAAGUGUUUUUGCAUAGACUGCGUGCAAUGCAGUCCUUAGAGUCAGUGUUUGUUCGUAAAGUAUUUAAUAUUUUUAACAGUCGCGCAGACUGUACUUAUAAAAGAUAAUAGAGUUUCGCGAAAUAAAUUCAGUGUCCGUUCGUUAAUAAAUAACUACCGCGAAUUAGAGUCAGUGCAUCACUGAAGAGGAUCUCGACCAACUUCGAUGUCGACCUACCUCAUUUUCAACCAACUACAAAUCAUCCACCCUCAAUUUCGACCUAAAUCGCGGUCCAGUGUUUUGGAGCCAUCGCAGAACUUCUUAAGUAGUAAGUUAAUUUUUUAGUCCCUCCAAUCACUCUAUCAUGUCGAGGACGAAAGGUCCGAAUCGGCACGGGUGAUUGGUUGUAAUUAAUUAGUAGAAGAGCAUUGAGUGACCACGAAUAAAUUUCUUCGGAGAUUUAUUCAUGAAUGGUUUGUUAUUUUUUGAUUUAUUUAUUAGAUCAGGAUAGAGUCUUCUUGUUUAAACGCGUUAAU